GUGAGGAAUAUUGGACAAUGGAUGGAAAUCUGAUCCAGCCAUGCCGCGUGCAGGAAGACGGCCCUAUGGGUUGUAAACUGCUUUUGUAUGGGAGCAAUAAGGGUUACGAGUAGCCUGAUGAGAGUACCAUACGAAUAAGGACCGGCUAACUCCGUGCCAGCAGCCGCGGUAAUACGGAGGGUCCGAGCGUUAUCCGGAUUUAUUGGGUUUAAAGGGUGCGUAGGCGGUUUUAUAAGUCAGCGGUGAAAUUUUCCGGCUCAACCGGGGGACUGCCGUUGAUACUGUAAGGCUAGGAUAUGGUUGCUGUGGGUGGAAUGUGUGGUGUAGCGGUGAAAUGCUUAGAGAUCACACAGAAUAUCGAUUGCGAAGGCAGCUCACAAAGCCAUCAUUGACGCUGAGGCACGAAAGUGUGGGGAUCAAACAGGAUUAGAAACCCUGGUAGUCC
RNAcentral lists this ribosomal RNA (445 nucleotides) under uncultured bacterium. RNAcentral describes it as "partial 16S ribosomal RNA". It matches the Rfam family "Bacterial small subunit ribosomal RNA", at positions 354 to 796 of the family's 1533-position model. The record is from RNAcentral.